RNAcentral lists this ribosomal RNA (252 nucleotides) under uncultured bacterium. Its description in RNAcentral is "partial 16S ribosomal RNA". It matches the Rfam family "Bacterial small subunit ribosomal RNA", at positions 524 to 775 of the family's 1533-position model. The record is from RNAcentral.
UACGAAGGGUGCAAGCGUUAAUCGGAAUUACUGGGCGUAAAGCGUGCGUAGGCGGUGAGUUAAGUCUGUCGUGAAAUCCCCGGGCUCAACCUGGGAAUGGCGAUGGAUACUGGCUCGCUAGAGUGUGAUAGAGGAUGGUGGAAUUCCCGGUGUAGCGGUGAAAUGCGUAGAUAUCUGCAGGAACACCCGUGGCGAAAGCGGCGCGCUGGACCACAACUGACGCUGAGGAACGAAAGCUAGGGGAGCAAACAG